Molecule: long non-coding RNA, 263 nt
Filed under: Elaeis guineensis (African oil palm)
Lineage: Eukaryota; Viridiplantae; Streptophyta; Magnoliopsida; Arecales; Arecaceae
Description: long non-coding RNA (EGUI_LNC070922)
Source: RNAcentral
GUCAACAUCAAAAAGCUUAUAAUUAUUUCGUAAGAAAGUUACCAGAAUCCAUAAGAUAUAAGCGUGCCAAGCAUAUCAUGAGUCUUUUGAUAGCUUUUCUUCUCCAAGUUGAUUUCUAAGCUAGACUUACUUUCUUAAUAUGAUUUAAUUCUAAUUAAAAUUUCUUAUAAGGUGUAUCUAGUCUAGAGUGUAUAAUUUGAAACUACACAUCCUUAAUGGUCAUUCAUAAGAAACAUUCACAAGAAGACACAAAUUAUGCAGCA